AGCUGCCCCUGGAUCCCAGCACCCUCAGUGCUUUGUUCUCCUCCCUGGGCGCCCCCCCGCCCAGACUAUCCCCACCGCCGGGCCGCCAGCCUGGCUGCUGUCUCUCCGGGAGCCGCUGCCAAGCCGUCAGCUCCUUUCAUCGCCCCAAGGCAGCCAGAGGGAGCGCCAGCAGCAGCCUUGGCACACGCCCGCCUCCGGCCACUCCCGGCGUGUUCUCAGACACAGACGCCAGCCCAGCGGGGCGGGCACCCAGCUCCGAGCCCACGGCUGCAACAAGGAAGGGUCACUGGGGGACCCAGCCCCCUCAUUACACGUCAGGAAACCUGGGCUGGGGAUCAGCCAGGCCUCCUUUGAAACUGUCUAGCCAAAUCAGCCCGUCAGAGUGGCGAUCAGAUGUCCAUGGGAGGCGGUUCCCUCUGCUGGAAUGUUCUCCAUCCCGCCCCCACCGGCCAGCCCCUCAGGGCUCAGUGAGGGCAGGCCCUUCCUCAGAGGCCCUGACCUUCACCCAGGGCCAAGCUCCCUCUUAGCACUCAUAGCACCCAGCCCAGGCGCCUGGCUGUCAGCCCAGAUGGGCACCUAAGCUAAGGAAGCUUUGGGGAGGGACGGGGGACCUUGCAGGGCUCCCCGGUCGGUCCACUUGGUGGUCCUGCUCCUCCCGACAUGUGGGCACAGGCUGGCCUUCCAGGACUUCCGUGUUUGGCUCCUGGAGGCAGGACCUCUGUCCCCAUCCUGACUCCAGGCACCCAGAGGCAGCCAAGAGCUGGGCAGGGGGCUACCCAACUCCACAGAGAUGCCCGUGGCCUCAGGAAACUCUGUCCCACACCCUUGGCUUUGAGGUGAGGAUAAGAGAGCCCAGCCCUGGCUCCAGGAUCACCUCCAUCGAGUCCGUCCUGGUUCUCUGAGCCUUCACUUCCUCCUCUGCCAAACGGAUUCUGAUUCUUCCUGGUCAGGCUGCUGACAGGAUCGAUGUGCCUAUCUCCCAGGGCUGCUGGCAGGAUUAGAUAGGUUGCCCUUCGAACAGUCACCUGGAAGCAGGGGGAGGAGCCUGUUCAUGUUGGGCGUUGACCAACAAGAACCAGCAAGAGAGAUGAAGAUGGAUCUGCCCUCGCACAGCUACAGCAGACUCGCACACUCGGAGGCAACAUGUGACGUGGAGAGACACACUUUAUGUCCAUGUUGUUGGGGGAGCAGCCUGUGCCGUCCCUCGGUGAGCUGGCAUCCUCCUGGCCCUGCUGAGCAGGGAGAGACAGAAGCUGUAAGAAGAGGCCAGCAGCCAGACACCCAGCCCCACCGCUCCCCUGCUGGGUGACCUCGGGCAAGUCACUGCAUUGCUCUGGGCCUGCUUCUUCAUCUGUAAAACGGGAUGAUGCCAACCCUAACCUCCCCAUCGUGGGACCAGCCGAGAGCCACAGCACCUACAGGAGCCCCAGGGUCCUGAGGGAACCGCCUUGAGCCUCAGUCUCCUCAUCUGUAAACCGAGGCUGAUGACUCCAGGCCCAUGUCACAGGACCGCAGAGAGAAAUGCCCGACAUUGGGACUGUGGGGUCACAGGAACGUGAUUCCUGACAGCGGGAGCGGGGAGGACGAGGAGGAGGCAGAACAGGAAAAUAUUUUGAAGGCUGGUCUCUAAGUGGCUUUAGGAACCUCUAAGCCAGAAUGGCCUGGACAAGGUCAGCUGGUUUGGUGCCCACCUUCCCGCCCAUCGCUGGGCCGCGGACUGUCACACAGGUCAGAGCCCCCCAGUCCUCUGCCCUUUCCCGAACCAUCUGGAAGCUGGAAAGUUACUGUCCUUACACAGGUCACAACAUCUGAGCACCUUCCCCAGACAGACCCCAGGCUGGGCACCGAGGAAGGGUUGCUUGCACCUGAGCUGGGCCUGAGCUGGGCCUUGAAGGAGAAGCAAAGUCCACCACUCCCUGCAGGGAGCUGUGGGCAGACACACCCCAAAAAACAAAUACACUGCGAUGGGCGCCCGGACAAGCCACCGAGAGCAGCAGGACAGCCAGUGGCCUGAGGGCAGGGGAGGGCGCCACCUGCUGGUCACAGAUGAGAAGUGCACCUGGUGCCCACUUGGUCCUUCUGGAGGAGCCUGUGCUCCGGACUCUGAAGCCCUGGGCGGUGACUCCCGGGCUCCCACCCGAGGCACAACAUCCUCCUCCCCACAAGUUUCUCCAAAUAGCUGCUUCACAUGCUUUUCAUAGACGUGAUGUUUUUACAUGUCAGAAGUGUGUCAGAUACUCUAUAAAUCUUCAUAAACUCCCCAAACGUGUACCCAGGGCUGGCCCCUGUGCUAGGCACUGGUGACACGGUGACCAGCCAGAUAGCCAUGGUCCCUGCGGGCUCUGAGGGCAGGAGGCCAAUACUAAACACUGUCACAAAGGGCCCAUUUAGUGACAAGCGUAAUCACGGCUAACGGGGAAGCGGAGAGGGGAACGUUGCGUCACUUGCCCCCUCGCCAGCUCUGCAAGGACGGAUGUGACUGCUGCUUUACAGACGAGGCUCAGAGAGGUGGAGUGGUCCACACGGCAGGAGGAGAUGCAGCUCAGACAGGGACCCAGGGCUGCCAGGCCACCGGAGGAGGGAGGGUGCAGGCUCCCCCGCAGGCCCACUGCCAGGCUGCAGAAAUGGUCCCCAACUCCCUUCCUAACGAGGCCCAGAGAGCAGCUGUGUCUCCAAAGCCUGGUUUCAAUGGGUUUCUGCCAUCGCUAGGACUAAGACCUGGCCCCCUGCAAGAGCUGCGCUCUUCUCCCGUCUAAAGGGACAAGUAGACAGAACCCCGAGUCCUCACAUGCCGUCAGCCAGACCUUCUCCCCUCCCCCCACCUCCUUUCGUCUAAUGAUCCCACCAUCCUUCAGGAGAGAAGAGGGCCCUGCAGUAAGAUGUGGACGUCCCUGGGCCACCUGGGAAUUGCCAUCUCUUUCCCGGCCUCAGUUUCCCCCCCGUCUACUGAGAGGUCAGAUUGACUCCUCUGAAGACCUCGGUUGAUCUGAAGUGUUAAAAUCCUCUUCGCCAGCCUUCCACCUCCCUUCGUCAGCAAGCACAGAGACGUACAGACCUCUCAGUGAUGCUGGGCAUCCUCAGUUUCCACAGGGUGACUCGUCUUUGGGAGACCAAAGCCAAAAUGGUUUGGAGACGGUACAGGCAAACCAGACUCCCUGCCACAUGACGGCUCAGAGAUGCGGCAGCCAGGACAGCCUUGCCUCCCUCUGGGUCAGUGACGCCAGCCGCCGGAGGGCUUGAUGGGCAAGGCUCCCGGGCAGGUCCCCUCCCUCUCUGAAUUUUGGCCCCUCACACCAUCUGCAGACGCUCCUUG
This 3313-nucleotide long non-coding RNA is filed under the name Equus asinus (donkey). Its description in RNAcentral is "lncRNA (ENSEASG00005000133.2)". The record is from RNAcentral. Lineage: Eukaryota; Metazoa; Chordata; Mammalia; Perissodactyla; Equidae.